GACGAACGCUGGCGGCGUGCUUAACACAUGCAAGUCGAACGAUGACGACCGAGCUUGCUCGGUCUGAUUAGUGGCGAACGGGUGAGUAACGCGUGAGCAACCUGCCCUUCACUCUGGGAUAACCUCGGGAAAUCGGGGCUAAUACCGGAUAUGAGCUCCUGUCGCAUGGCGGGUGUUGGAAAGUUUUUCGGUGAAGGAUGGGCUCGCGGCCUAUCAGUUUGUUGGUGAGGUAGUGGCUCACCAAGGCGAUGACGGGUAGCCGGCCUGAGAGGGCGACCGGCCACACUGGGACUGAGACACGGCCCAGACUCCUACGGGAGGCAGCAGUGGGGAAUAUUGCACAAUGGGCGAAAGCCUGAUGCAGCGACGCCGCGUGAGGGAUGACGGCCUUCGGGUUGUAAACCUCUUUCAGCAGGGAAGAAGCGAAAGUGACGGUACCUGCAGAAGAAGCGCCGGCUAACUACGUG
This 467-nucleotide ribosomal RNA is filed under the name uncultured bacterium. Its description in RNAcentral is "partial 16S ribosomal RNA". It matches the Rfam family "Bacterial small subunit ribosomal RNA", at positions 28 to 507 of the family's 1533-position model. The record is from RNAcentral.